This 238-nucleotide ribosomal RNA is filed under the name uncultured bacterium. RNAcentral describes it as "partial 16S ribosomal RNA". It matches the Rfam family "Bacterial small subunit ribosomal RNA", at positions 96 to 334 of the family's 1533-position model. The record is from RNAcentral.
CGGCGGACGGGUGAGUAACGCGUGGGUAACCUACCCUGUACACACGGAUAACAUACCGAAAGGUAUGCUAAUACGGGAUAAUAUAUUUGAGAGGCAUCUCUUAAAUAUCAAAGGUGAGCCAGUACAGGAUGGACCCGCGUCUGAUUAGCUGGUUGGUAAGGUAACGGCUUACCAAGGCGACGAUCAGUAGCCGACCUGAGAGGGUGAUCGGCCACAUUGGAACUGAGACACGGUCCAA